Molecule: ribosomal RNA, 1412 nt
Filed under: metagenome
Description: bacterial SSU rRNA
Rfam family: Bacterial small subunit ribosomal RNA
Source: RNAcentral
AACACGUAAACAAUCUGCCCUUCAGUUCGGGAUAACGUCUCGAAAGGGACGCUAAUACCGGAUAAUAUUUUUCCUCGCAUGGGGAAUUAUUGAAAAUUGGCCUCUAUUUAUAAGCUAUGCUGGAGGAUGAGUUUGCGUACCAUUAGUUAGUUGGUAGGGUAACGGCCUACCAAGACCGCGAUGGUUAGCCGGCCUGAGAGGGUGAACGGCCACAUUGGGACUGAGACACGGCCCAGACUCCUACGGGAGGCAGCAGUAGGGAAUUUUCCGCAAUGGGCGAAAGCCUGACGGAGCAAUGCCGCGUGAACGACGAAGGCCUUCGGGUCGUAAAGUUCUGUCAGAUGGGAAGAAGGAUUAUUAUGCGAAUAGCUUAAUAGUUUUGACGGUACCAUCAGAGGAAGCUACGGCUAAUUACGUGCCAGCAGCCGCGGUAAUACGUAAGUAGCAAGCGUUAUCCGGAAUUACUGGGUGUAAAGGGUGUGUAGGCGGCUUUUCAAGUCUUGUGUAAAAUACCACGGCUCAACCGUGGACCUGCAUGAGAAACUGGAAGGCUUGAGUGGAUGAGAGGUAACUGGAAUACCUGGUGUAGUGGUGAAAUAUGUAGAUAUCAGGUAGAACACCGAUGGCGAAGGCAGGUUACUGGCAUCCCACUGACGCUGGGACACGAAAGCAUGGGGAGCGAACGGGAUUAGAUACCCCGGUAGUCCAUGCUGUAAACGAUGUUCACUAGGUGUAGGGGGUAUCGACUCCCUCUGUGCCGGAGUUAACGCAUUAAGUGAACCACCUGGGGAAUACGAUCGCAAGAUUAAAACUCAAAGGAAUUGACGGGGGCCCGCACAAGCGGUGGAGUAUGUGGUUUAAUUCGAAGCAACCCGAAGAACCUUACCAGGGCUUGACAUUUCAGGAAAUCCAUGGAAACAUGGCCCUCUCCUUAUGGAGACCUGAGGACAGGUGUUGCAUGGUUGUCGUCAGCUCGUGUCGUGAGAUGUUGGGUUAAGUCCCGCAACGAGCGCAACCCCUAUCUUUAGUUACCAGCGGAUAAUGCCGGGCACUCUAGAGAAACUGCCGGUGACAAACCGGAGGAAGGUGGGGAUGACGUCAAAUCAUCACGGCCCUUAUGUCCUGGGCUACACACGUACUACAAUGGCGCGUAUAGAUGGUCGCGAAGCCGCGAGGCAGAGCCAAUCCCAAAAAGCGCGUCCCAGUUCGGAUUGCAGGCUGAAACUCGCCUGCAUGAAGUCGGAAUCGCUAGUAAUCGCGGAUCAGCAAGCCGCGGUGAAUACGUUCCCGGGCCUUGUACACACCGCCCGUCACACCACCUGAAUUGAUUGCACCCGAAGUCGUGUAUCUAACCGUAAGGAAGAAAGCGCCGAAGGUGUGGUUGGUAAGGGGGGUGAAGUCGUAACAAGGUA